GUGACCUCAAAUCAGGUAGGACUACCCGCUGAACUUAAGCAUAUCAAUAAGCGGAGGAAAAGAAACUAACAAGGAUUCCCCUAGUAACUGCGAGUGAAGCGGGAAAAGCUCAAAUUUAAAAUCUGGCAGUCUUUGGCUGUCCGAGUUGUAAUCUAGAGAAGUGUUAUCCGCGCUGGACCGUGUACAAGUCUCCUGGAAUGGAGCA
This 205-nucleotide ribosomal RNA is filed under the name uncultured Cortinarius. Its description in RNAcentral is "partial 28S ribosomal RNA". It matches the Rfam family "Eukaryotic large subunit ribosomal RNA", at positions 1 to 202 of the family's 3401-position model. Lineage: Eukaryota; Fungi; Basidiomycota; Agaricomycetes; Agaricales; Cortinariaceae. The record is from RNAcentral.